UGGGGAAUUUUGGACAAUGGGGGCAACCCUGAUCCAGCCAUGCCGCGUGUGUGAAGAAGGCCUUCGGGUUGUAAAGCACUUUCGGCCGGAACGAAAUCGCGCGGGCUAAUACCCAGCGUGGAUGACGGUACCGGAAGACGAAGCACCGGCUAACUACGUGCCAGCAGCCGCGGUAAUACGUAGGGUGCAAGCGUUAACCGGAAUUACUGGGCGUAAAGGGUGCGCAGGCGGCUCCGCAUGUCAGGCGUGAAAUCCCCGGGCUUAACCUGGGAAUGGCGCUUGAAACUACGGGGCUGGAGUAUGGCAGAGGGAGGUGGAAUUCCACGUGUAGCGGUGAAAUGCGUAGAGAUGUGGAGGAACACCGAUGGCGAAGGCAGCCUCCUGGGCCAAUACUGACGCUCAUGCACGAAAGCGUGGGGAGCAAA
RNAcentral lists this ribosomal RNA (425 nucleotides) under uncultured bacterium. RNAcentral's name for it is "bacterial SSU rRNA". It matches the Rfam family "Bacterial small subunit ribosomal RNA", at positions 355 to 772 of the family's 1533-position model. The record is from RNAcentral.